RNAcentral lists this long non-coding RNA (728 nucleotides) under Phoenix dactylifera (date palm). RNAcentral's name for it is "long non-coding RNA (PDAC_LNC003793)". Lineage: Eukaryota; Viridiplantae; Streptophyta; Magnoliopsida; Arecales; Arecaceae. The record is from RNAcentral.
UGAGUCCCUUGUUGAAUGCACAAAUUUUGUGCACAUUAUAAUCACAGACAGAUAUUGCUAGCAGAAUGCAACAAAAUUUUAUAUAUGGUUGUGUUAUAUGUUGGUUAUCAGCCAUUACAUAAUUUUUGCAUUUAAAUUAUGUGAAUAUAUUCUCCCUCAUCAGAUAACAGAAGGCUUACUUUCUCAUGAACAGGAAACAGCAGACCUUUACUGCUGUAAGCCACAAACAAGAGUAAUGUUUGCAGCACAUACAGAACAACAGACUGUUUUACGAUUAGUCACGACUGUCUUAAACAUGUAAUAGGCCCUAGUUGACCAUGAAUUUCCCCUAGUUGCAUCAGGCACUGUCAUCUUCUUCCACAAGGGUGACAAUCUGCUAUUACUAGAAAGGCCAGGACCUCACUUCCAUAAGAUUUUCGAUUACUUGAUCAUCCUCAGGUUCUCUAUCAGCUAGUAGAAGGAGCCACCACCUUUUGGCUCAAAGGGAGAGAUUCAUAACUCGCACAUAAGCCCCACUAGAUCUAGAAGGUUCCUUCUUCAUGCAGGUUCUUCUCAAACAAGAUCAUUUGGGCUUCACAUAAGCUUCAAUCAAAAUCAAAGGUGGGUCAAUAAUAAAUCCAAAAAUGUCUUAUCUGUUGUUUUUGAGUCAUAUCAGAGAUAAUUGAAGAUCUAUUAGAAUCUUUAACCUGCAAAUGAGUCUCACCCAAUCUACUAGGUUCAUUCUUCAU